GGCUGGUUCAAAGGUAGGGAGUUAUCUCACUUGAUUGUUCACAGUUACAGAUUGAAUUCCUUGUUCUACUUUCCCUCCUUCUCACUACUGCACAUGACUAGUCAAAA
RNAcentral lists this Y RNA (107 nucleotides) under Microcebus murinus (gray mouse lemur). RNAcentral's name for it is "Y RNA (ENSMICG00000041735.1)". It matches the Rfam family "Y RNA". From Rfam's summary of the family: Y RNAs are components of the Ro ribonucleoprotein particle (Ro RNP), in association with Ro60 and La proteins. The Y RNAs and Ro60 and La proteins are well conserved, but the function of the Ro RNP is not known. In humans the RNA component can be one of four small RNAs -- hY1, hY3, hY4 and hY5. The record is from Rfam by way of RNAcentral. Lineage: Eukaryota; Metazoa; Chordata; Mammalia; Primates; Cheirogaleidae.